Molecule: ribosomal RNA, 484 nt
Filed under: uncultured bacterium
Lineage: Bacteria
Description: partial 16S ribosomal RNA
Rfam family: Bacterial small subunit ribosomal RNA
Source: RNAcentral
AUUGAACGCUAGCGGGAUGCUUUACACAUGCAAGUCGAACGGCAGCGCGGACUUCGGUCUGGCGGCGAGUGGCGAACGGGUGAGUAAUGUAUCGGAACGUGCCCAGUAGCGGGGGAUAACUACGCGAAAGCGUAGCUAAUACCGCAUACGCCCUACGGGGGAAAGCAGGGGAUCGUAAGACCUUGCACUAUUGGAGCGGCCGAUAUCGGAUUAGCUAGUUGGUGAGGUAACGGCUCACCAAGGCGACGAUCCGUAGCUGGUUUGAGAGGACGACCAGCCACACUGGGACUGAGGCACGGCCCAGACUCCUACGGGAGGCAGCAGUGGGGAAUUUUGGACAAUGGGGGCAACCCUGAUCCAGCCAUCCCGCGUGUGCGAUGAAGGCCUUCGGGUUGUAAAGCACUUUUGGCAGGAAAGAAACGUCGCGGGCUAAUACCCCGUGGAACUGACGGUACCUGCAGAAUAAGCACCGGCUAACUACGUG